RNAcentral lists this ribosomal RNA (1302 nucleotides) under Amerila alberti. Its description in RNAcentral is "16S ribosomal RNA". The stretch from base 1061 to 1219 matches the Rfam family "Eukaryotic large subunit ribosomal RNA", at positions 2825 to 2984 of the family's 3401-position model. Lineage: Eukaryota; Metazoa; Arthropoda; Insecta; Lepidoptera; Erebidae. The record is from RNAcentral.
UUUAAAUUUGAUUAUAUUAAAAAUAUUUAAUUGGGGGAUUAAAGUAUUUUAAUAGAAAAAAUUAAAAAAUUUAUAGUAAAUUAGUAUUGUGAAAGAAUUUUGAAAUAAGUGAAAAAAAAAAUUAUUUAAAAGUAAUUUUUAUUUGAUGUAUCUUGUGUAUCAGAGUUUAUUAAAUAAAAUUUUUAGUUAGAAAAUUCUCGAAUUUAAAAGAGAUAAUUAAUUAUAAAAGUUAUUGUAGUAUAAAUAUUUUUAAUAAUUAAUUUGAAAUGAAAUGUUAAUCGUUUUUAAAUAUAUCUAGUUUUUUUAGAAAAAAAUUUAAUUUUGAAUUUAUUUAAAAAAUAUUUUUAAUUAAUUAAUUAAUUAAAAAUAAAAUAAUUUUUAUAUUUUAAGGGAUAAGCUUUAAAUUAAAUUAAUAUAAUAAUUAAUAAAAAUUUAUUUUGAAAAUUAUAUAAUUUAUAUUGUUAAAAAAUUAUAAUUUAUUAUAAAUAAUUUCAAAUUAAAAUAAAAUUUAAAUAAAUUUAUUUUUUUUUUAUAAAUAAAUUAAUUUAAAUUAAUAAAAUUAAAUUAUAAUGAUAAAAUUAGUAUAUAAGUAUAGAUAAAAAUAAUAAAAUUUAUUUAAAUUAUUUUUAAGGAAUUCGGCAAAAUUUUAUAUUCACUUGUUUAUCAAAAACAUGUCUUUUUGUAAAUAAUAUAAAGUCUAAUCUGCCCACUGAUUAUAUAAUUGAAGGGCUGCAGUAUUUUGACUGUACAAAGGUAGCAUAAUCAAUAGUCAUUUAAUUGAUGACUUGUAUGAAAGAUUGGAUGAAAUAUAAACUGUCUCUAAAAUAAAUUAUAGAAAUUAAUUUUUAAAUAAAAAAGUUUAAAUAUUUUAAAAAGACGAGAAGACCCUAUAGAGUUUUAUAAAUAGAUUAAUUAUAAUUAUUUAUUUAUUUAAAAUUUUUAAUUAAUUUAUUUAUUUUGUUGGGGUGAUAGAAAAAUAAAAAAAACUUUUUUUUUAUUAAACAUAAAUAAAUGAAUAAAUGAUCCAAUUUUAUUGAUUAUAAGAAAAAAUUACCUUAGGGAUAACAGCGUAAUUUAUUUUUUUAGUUCAUAUAAAAAAUUAAGUUUGCGACCUCGAUGUUGGAUUAAGAUAAAAAUUAAAUGCAAAAGUUUAAAGUUUUGAUCUGUUCGAUCAUUAAAAUCUUACAUGAUCUGAGUUCAGACCGGUGUGAGCCAGGUUGGUUUCUAUCUUUUAAUAGUUAAAAUAUUUUAGUACGAAAGGAUCAAAUAUUUAAAUUAAAUUUAUUUUAAAUGAAUUUUAUU